GCGGUCAUCGUCUAGUUUGGUCAGGACACUGGCCUUCCAAGCCCGUAACCCGGGUUCAAAUCCCGGUGACCGCACCA
Molecule: transfer RNA, 77 nt
Filed under: Thermoproteota archaeon
Lineage: Archaea; Thermoproteati; Thermoproteota
Also listed under: 1 other name
Description: tRNA-Gly
Rfam family: tRNA
About the family: Transfer RNA (tRNA) molecules are approximately 80 nucleotides in length. Their secondary structure includes four short double-helical elements and three loops (D, anti-codon, and T loops). Further hydrogen bonds mediate the characteristic L-shaped molecular structure. tRNAs have two regions of fundamental functional importance: the anti-codon, which is responsible for specific mRNA codon recognition, and the 3' end, to which the tRNAs corresponding amino acid is attached (by aminoacyl-tRNA synthetases). tRNAs cope with the degeneracy of the genetic code in two manners: having more than one tRNA (with a specific anti-codon) for a particular amino acid; and 'wobble' base-pairing, i.e. permitting non-standard base-pairing at the 3rd anti-codon position.
Source: RNAcentral